GCACCCAUAGUAUAAUGGAUAGUACAGCGGUUUCCGGAACCGUAGGUCUAGGUUCGAUUCCUAGUGGGUGUA
Molecule: transfer RNA, 72 nt
Filed under: Verrucomicrobiales bacterium
Lineage: Bacteria; Pseudomonadati; Verrucomicrobiota; Verrucomicrobiia; Verrucomicrobiales
Description: tRNA-Arg
Rfam family: tRNA
About the family: Transfer RNA (tRNA) molecules are approximately 80 nucleotides in length. Their secondary structure includes four short double-helical elements and three loops (D, anti-codon, and T loops).
Source: RNAcentral